Molecule: ribosomal RNA, 490 nt
Filed under: uncultured bacterium
Lineage: Bacteria
Description: partial 16S ribosomal RNA
Rfam family: Bacterial small subunit ribosomal RNA
Source: RNAcentral
AUUGAACGCUGGCGGCAGGCCUAACACAUGCAAGUCGAACGGUAACAGGAAACAGCUUGCUGCUUCGCUGACGAGUGGCGGACGGGUGAGUAAUGUCUGGGAAACUGCCUGAUGGAGGGGGAUAACUACUGGAAACGGUAGCUAAUACCGCAUAACGUCGCAAGACCAAAGAGGGGGACCUUCGGGCCUCUUGCCAUCGGAUGUGCCCAGAUGGGAUUAGCUAGUAGGUGGGGUAACGGCUCACCUAGGCGACGAUCCCUAGCUGGUCUGAGAGGAUGACCAGCCACACUGGAACUGAGACACGGUCCAGACUCCUACGGGAGGCAGCAGUGGGGAAUAUUGCACAAUGGGCGCAAGCCUGAUGCAGCCAUGCCGCGUGUAUGAAGAAGGCCUUCGGGUUGUAAAGUACUUUCAGCGGGGAGGAAGGGAGUAAAGUUAAUACCUUUGCUCAUUGACGUUACCCGCAGAAGAAGCACCGGCUAACUCCGUG